Molecule: long non-coding RNA, 1371 nt
Filed under: Vigna radiata
Lineage: Eukaryota; Viridiplantae; Streptophyta; Magnoliopsida; Fabales; Fabaceae
Description: long non-coding RNA (VRAD_LNC000759)
Source: RNAcentral
GAAGAUGGUACCCAGGGAGAUCACGACUAAGAGUUAACUUUUAGAACCACUUGUAUUUUUAAUUUCCUUUGGGGUUGCAGGGUGACAUGAAUUGGUAGAUAAUCUUUUUUUUUUUUAUUUUUUUUUUCUUGUCUUAGAAUAUUUUACAUUAUAUGCUGAGUUGUUUUAAUCUUUUUAAUUUAGUGUUAUAUUUUAAUAACUUUAAUUAUGUUUGGAUGUUUGUCCAUUGUAGUGUUAGGUUCAACAUUUUAUUUUACUUUAAUGUUUUCUAUCUUAUUCGGUUGUGUUUAAUUUCCAUGCGUUUGAAUUGAGUUUAAUUUUCGUUUCAAACACCUUCAAACCCCCCCCCUCCCCCACUAUGUGUGUGUUUGACCUAAGAUUUGAACUGCAUUUGGUCCUUGAGAGACGACCUAGGAGUCACUUCCUAGCUAUACUGCGUUUCUAAAAUGCAAUCAAAUUUGUAUGGGCUGCGACAACCCAUCAGUGCUGCUGCCAUAGAUUGGGCCGUUGCUAUUGAAAUUGAGCUUUUGUGUUGUUGUUGGGCUGAUUCACCAAUUAGUGAAGCGGUGCGUUUUAGGAGGCAAAGGUUGCAGCUUCCUUGGGGGUCUUUUGUCUCGCUUCAUUUUGGCAAGUAGAAGAAACACUCUGGUGUUAGGGUUUCUAGAGAAUGCAAGAGAACAAGAGAGCUCCAUGGCUUGUGGCUUUCAUACCAGAGUUUGAGUGAGUUAGAGGUCGCACGUGUGUAGGGAUGAGAACACUUAAGCAGAUCGUGAACGAGAAAGGAGCCGUUGGAUUGAGAAAGGAAGUGAUGCUAAGAAGGUUCCCUUUUUCCCAAUUAUUUUUCUUUCUCUGCUCUGUUUUUGGACCCUAUAAAAGGGCAUGUAAAUAGACUUUUGAGGGGGAAUCGCGGAGGGUGACAAACUCCGCGAAUGAGUGAGAGACGAUUGGCGAGAGCGAGAUUGCGAGUGAGAGAGUAACAUAGGUUUAUCGCUUUCAUAGGCUAGGGUUUAUCGCGCUUUUCUUUGAUUUUGGAUUUUGCCGAGUUGCAAGGGUGACAGGCCGUGAUUUUCGAUGAUUUCUGGUAUUGUGUACUUUUGUUUCCACAGUUAAAUACAAUUCUGAGUUCCUUUAUUGUUCUUGUUCUGGAUUUUUAUUUUGAUUUUGUUCUUGAAUUCAAUGAUGUUUCUGUGCUUUCUUGAAUUUGAUUGAGUUUUAGAUGGAUGAAUAGGAUAAUGAAUAUUGGUUGGACAAAUGAGUGGAAAAAGUCAGUUUAGGUUCUGAAAUAUGAACCAAAAUACCCUGGAUUGGGAUUCACCUUAUCAGGAUGUCUUCCUAAGAACUCUAAGCACACUUUUAUUCACUCCAAUGUGC